Molecule: ribosomal RNA, 496 nt
Filed under: uncultured bacterium
Lineage: Bacteria
Description: partial 16S ribosomal RNA
Rfam family: Bacterial small subunit ribosomal RNA
Source: RNAcentral
AUUGAACGCUGGCGGAAUGCUUUACACAUGCAAGUCGAACGGUAGAGGGGGCAACCCCUCGAGAGUGGCGAACGGGUGAGUAAUAUAUCGGAACGUGCCCAGUCGUGGGGGAUAACGUAGCGAAAGUUACGCUAAUACCGCAUACGAUCUAAGGAUGAAAGCGGGGGAUCGCAAGACCUCGCGCGAUUGGAGCGGCCGAUAUCAGAUUAGGUAGUUGGUGGGGUAAAGGCUCACCAAGCCAACGAUCUGUAGCUGGUCUGAGAGGACGACCAGCCACACUGGAACUGAGACACGGUCCAGACUCCUACGGGAGGCAGCAGUGGGGAAUUUUGGACAAUGGACGCAAGUCUGAUCCAGCCAUUCCGCGUGCAGGAUGAAGGCCCUCGGGUUGUAAACUGCUUUUGUACGGAACGAAAAGGUCUCUCUUAAUACGAGGGGCUCAUGACGGUACCGUAAGAAUAAGCACCGGCUAACUACGUGCCAGCAGCCGCAGUAA